ACGGUCCUAAGGUAGCGAAAUUCCUUGUCGGGUAAGUUCCGACCUGCACGAAUGGCAUAAUGAUGGCCAGGCUGUCUCCACCCGAGACUCAGUGAAAUUGAAAUCGCCGUGAAGAUGCGGUGUACCCGCGGCUAGACGGAAAGACCCCGUGAACCUUUACUAUAGCUUGACACUGAACAUUGAAUUUUGAUGUGUAGGAUAGGUGGGAGACUUUGAAGUAGUCACGCCAGUGAUUAUGGAGUCGUCCUUGAAAUACCACCCUUUAACGUUUGAUGUUCUAACGAAGAUUGCGAAACGCGGUCUCGGACAGUGUCUGGUGGGUAGUUUGACUGGGGCGGUCUCCUCCCAAAGAGUAACGGAGGAGCACGAAGGUUUGCUAAUCACGGUCGGACAUCGUGAGGUUAGUGCAAUGGUAUAAGCAAGCUUAACUGCGAGACAGACAAGUCGAGCAGGUACGAAAGUAGGUCAUAGUGAUCCGGUGGUUCUGCAUGGAAGGGCCAUCGCUCAACGGAUAAAAGGUACUCCGGGGAUAACAGGCUGAUACCGCCCAAGAGUUCAUAUCGACGGCGGUGUUUGGCACCUCGAUGUCGGCUCAUCUCAUCCUGGGGCUGUAGCCGGUCCCAAGGGUAUGGCUGUUCGCCAUUUAAAGAGGUACGUGAGCUGGGUUUAAAACGUCGUGAGACAGUUUGGUCCCUAUCUGCUGUGGGCGUUGGAGAUUUGACGGGGGCUGCUCCUAGUACGAGAGGACCGGAGUGGACACACCUCUGGUGUACCUGUUGUCACGCCAGUGGCAUCGCAGGGUAGCUAAGUGUGGAAGAGAUAACCGCUGAAAGCAUCUAAGCGGGAAACUUGCCUGAAGAUGAGAUCUCCCUGGGGACUCGAUCCCCCUGAAGGGUCGUCCAAGACCAGGACGUUGAUAGGCCGGGUGUGGAAGCGCAGUAAUGCGUGCAGCUAACCGGUACUAAUUGCCCGUGAGGCUUGACCCU
RNAcentral lists this ribosomal RNA (986 nucleotides) under human oral metagenome. Its description in RNAcentral is "bacterial LSU rRNA". It matches the Rfam family "Bacterial large subunit ribosomal RNA", at positions 1945 to 2925 of the family's 2925-position model. The record is from RNAcentral.